GCUGGGCACGGUGGCACAUACCUGUAAUCCUAGCAUCUUGGGAGGCUGAGGCAGGAGGAGUUCAAAGCCAGCCUUAGCAACUUAACAAGAUCCUGUCUCAA
RNAcentral lists this small RNA (101 nucleotides) under Marmota monax (woodchuck). The record is from RNAcentral. Lineage: Eukaryota; Metazoa; Chordata; Mammalia; Rodentia; Sciuridae.